UGGAGACUCGUGUCCUAGAGGCUUAUUCCCCAAGUACAGCAGUGUUACUCUACAGAACUGAUUACAUUAGGAGGACCCUAACUUCAUCAGCGGAUGAAUUCACUCAAGAGACUACAAUGCGAUUAUUACAUCACAGAGCCAGGAGGUGGAGCCUCGUUGAGAGGAGUGGGUCACAGAGCGUAAUCUUCAAGACUCUGUUUGGUCCUGGCCCCUCCCCGUGGCUCUUUCCCCAUUUCUCCGCUUUCUGGCUGCGCCCUUCCUCCACCUCAGCCUCCUGCCAUGAUUUUCUGCCUCACCUCAGGCAACGGUGAUGGAACCAGAGUCUUACAUGCCUACUGAAAUACACACAAACUGAAUCAUAUGGUGCCUGAGAUUCACCUGCAAGAAUCAUUCUCGGAAAAGAAGAUCAUUCCCAGGCAGAACAAGGCAGCAGAGGGAUGUGGCACACAGCGAAAUGACCUUUCCCAGUUUCCUGGCACUGGACCAUGUGGCUGAAGCCAGUGCGAUGAACAGAGCUGUGCUCUGGUUGGCCUGGCCCACCGUCCCUCCCACGCACACUGCCUGUGCUUUGUCUCCUGUGGGAUGAUUGCUAAUGAUGACGAUCCAAGAGAAGAGUAAUAGUUCACGAGGCAUGAAAAUCACACGAAACUCAAAUUUGGGAAGUGCGAAUCAAGUUUCAUUGGAACGCAGCUACACGUAUUUGUCUAUGUACCAUCCACAACUGCUUUAGUACUGCUAGGGCAGAGCAGAAAAAUUAUGCAGGAAUACGGCCUUCAAAGCCUUAAAUAUUUAUCCUGUGGCUCUCGACACAUGAACUUGCCAAUGCCUGGUCUAGAGGUUCCAAAAGAAAGAUCAUAUGGUUGAAGUAACCAGACCCUCUGCUACCCAAGCAGGACCCUGGAAGGAACAGAUGUCCCACGUGAUUUCUGUCUUGCUAAGGGUUCAGUACCUUCACUACGUAUCUCAAAAGGUCUUGGAGUUCAGUGUUGUUCCUUAACACAAAGUAGAAACACCGUUCUUUACUGGUUAACUGGAGUAUUCUCAUGGAAUGGGCCACAUAAGCUGCUCUUUGAUUUCUUUUAUUUCCUUAGUGCCCUAAUAUCCAUUAUGUAGGUUUAGAUGAUCGAAACUCACAUUACAACAACUGAGCUUCCCUUAGAAGCCUUGCAUGCUAUAAAACAAACAUUCUACGAGCAGCUACUACAGCUCAACAAGUGACACACUUUUCUUACUAUCGGUUGUGGCCAUUAGUAAGACAUUAUAGUAGACCUUUCCAAUUCCUGUCACAAUUUAAUUCUUAAGAGAGUUCUUGGGUCAAAUAGCUAACCGAAAUGAUGAGAAGAUAGAGACACCAUAAGAAUAAAAUAAUUUU
This is a long non-coding RNA of Chinchilla lanigera (long-tailed chinchilla), 1372 nucleotides long. RefSeq lists it as uncharacterized. The transcript is spliced from 3 exons. Lineage: Eukaryota; Metazoa; Chordata; Mammalia; Rodentia; Chinchillidae. The record is from RefSeq and is a predicted model, not a curated record.